Molecule: long non-coding RNA, 861 nt
Organism: Myxocyprinus asiaticus (Chinese sucker)
Lineage: Eukaryota; Metazoa; Chordata; Actinopteri; Cypriniformes; Catostomidae
Exons: 5
Source: RefSeq, a predicted model, not a curated record
AUCACUCUCUGAGACUACUCGUUCUUUUGAGUCACAUAAAAGAUUCGUUCAAAAUGAUCGAAUCGCUCAUGAACGACCCAUCACUAGUAUAUAAUUUGCGGGCGUCAGGGAACCGCUAUCAAUAUGCGGGAGACUCCCGGAACUUCCGGGAAAGGUGGGAUGUCUGGGACAAGCAUGUACUUUAGAGAGUCAAGCUAAAAUAGAACAAGAUAUUUGCAAAAACUGAAAAUAAACAAUGAGGUGUCAUUAACGGAUCCUUUACAUAAGACUCUAAUACUUAGACUAACUCAACAAAUUUCCUCAAAGUACAUCAAUGUUUACCUGAAGAGACUUAUCCAGAUGCGAGGGAGGCGAUGAAAGUGCGUAGUAGUUUAGAUGAUGCAUUGUUUCCUCAGCAAAAAGAGUUCCUGGUAAUCAACUACACUACCCAUGAUCCAGCAGAGAAAGAUCCACCAAUCAGAGAAGUUCAGCCAGGAAAGCCCGCCAGAAAUCAUAUCCACCUUUUUCCUGAACUCGGAAGUGUUCUACGAUUCGACUGUUUUCAAUUUCCUGUCUCCAGUGUUUUCUCACCCAUUGGGAUAAAUGCUUAGAAGAUGAAGCAGGCUACAGAGCUGAAAUAUUCUUCUAAAAAUCUUCAUGUGUUCUACAGAAGAAAGAAAGUCAUACACAUCAGAGAUGGCAUGAGGAUGAAAGAAAGUCAUACACAUCUGGGUUGACAUGAGGGUGUUUCACUGUGUGCACUGAGUGUCCUGCACAACUCAAUAAUGAAGUCAUGAAGGGGAGCCCAGGACACACGUCCCCCGAAUCCACUUCAUCCCAACAAUCUCGACCUGCUUCCAGCCAGCCUUCAUAAUCUUCAUC